CCGGCUUACCAACCCAAUGCAAACUGCGAAUACCGAAGAAUGUUAUCACGGGAGACACACGGCGGGUGCUAACGUCCGUCGUGAAGAGGGAAACAACCCAGACCGCCAGCUAAGGUCCCAAAGUCAUAGUUAAGUGGGAAACGAUGUGGGAAGGCUCAGACAGCCAGGAUGUUGGCUUAGAAGCAGCCAUCAUUUAAAGAAAGCGUAAUAGCUCACUGGUCGAGUCGGCCUGCGCGGAAGAUGUAACGGGGCUAAACUAUGCACCGAAGCUGCGGCAGCGACACUAUGUGUUGUUGGGUAGGGGAGCGUUCUGUAAGCCGUUGAAGGUGGACUGUGAGGUCUGCUGGAGGUAUCAGAAGUGCGAAUGCUGACAUAAGUAACGAUAAAGCGGGUGAAAAACCCGCUCGCCGGAAGAUCAAGGGUUCCUGUCCAACGUUAAUCGGGGCAGGGUGAGUCGACCCCUAAGGCGAGGCCGAAAGGCGUAGUCGAUGGGAAACAGGUUAAUAUUCCUGUACUUGGUGUUACUGCGAAGGGGGGACGGAGAAGGCUAGGUUAUCCGGGCGACGGUUGUCCCGGUUUAAGCGAGUAGGCUGAUAGUUUUGGUAAAUCCGGAUUAUCUUAAGGCUGAGACGUGAUGACGAGGUUCUACGGAACUGAAGUAAUUGAUGCCAUGCUUCCAGGAAAAGCCUCUAAGCUCUAGGUAACAUUGAAUCGUACCCCAAACCGACACAGGUGAUCAGGUAGAGAAUACCAAGGCGCUUGAGAGAACUCGGGUGAAGGAACUAGGCAAAAUGGUGCCGUAACUUCGGGAGAAGGCACGCUGGUGCGUAGGUGAAAGGACUUGCUCCUGGAGCUGAAACCAGUCGAAGAUACCAGCUGGCUGCAACUGUUUAUUAAAAACACAGCACUGUGCAAACACGAAAGUGGACGUAUACGGUGUGACGCCUGCCCGGUGCUGGAAGGUUAAUUGAUGGGGUUAUCCGUAAGGAGAAGCUCUUGAUCGAAGCCCCAGUAAACGGCGGCCGUAACUAUAACGGUCCUAAGGUAGCGAAAUUCCUUGUCGGGUAAGUUCCGACCUGCACGAAUGGCGUAAUGAUGGCCAGGCUGUCUCCACCCGAGACUCAGUGAAAUUGAAAUCGCUGUGAAGAUGCAGUGUACCCGCGGCAAGACGGAAAGACCCCGUGAACCUUUACUAUAGCUUGACACUGAACAUUGAGCCUUGAUGUGUAGGAUAGGUGGGAGGCUUUGAAGCGUGGACGCUAGUCUGCGUGGAGCCAACCUUGAAAUACCACCCUUUAAUGUUUGAUGUUCUAACGUAGACCCGUAAUCCGGGUUGCGGACAGUGUCUGGUGGGUAGUUUGACUGGGGCGGUCUCCUCCCAAAGAGUAACGGAGGAGCACGAAGGUUAGCUAAUCACGGUCGGACAUCGUGAGGUUAGUGCAAAGGCAUAAGCUAGCUUGACUGCGAGAGUGACAGUUCGAGCAGGUGCGAAAGCAGGUCUUAGUGAUCCGGUGGUUCUGAAUGGAAGGGCCAUCGCUCAACGGAUAAAAGGUACUCCGGGGAUAACAGGCUGAUACCGCCCAAGAGUUCAUAUCGACGGCGGUGUUUGGCACCUCGAUGUCGGCUCA
RNAcentral lists this ribosomal RNA (1628 nucleotides) under insect metagenome. Its description in RNAcentral is "bacterial LSU rRNA". It matches the Rfam family "Bacterial large subunit ribosomal RNA", at positions 931 to 2539 of the family's 2925-position model. The record is from RNAcentral.